GAUGAACGCUGGCGGCGUGCCUAAUACAUGCAAGUCGAGCGAACAGAUGAGGAGCUUGCUCCUCUGACGUUAGCGGCGGACGGGUGAGUAACACGUGGAUAACCUACCUAUAAGACUGGGAUAACUUCGGGAAACCGGAGCUAAUACCGGAUAAUAUAUUGAACCGCAUGGUUCAAUAGUGAAAGACGGUUUUGCUGUCACUUAUAGAUGGAUCCGCGCCGCAUUAGCUAGUUGGUAAGGUAACGGCUUACCAAGGCAACGAUGCGUAGCCGACCUGAGAGAGUGAUCGGCCACACUGGAACUUAGCCACGGUCCAGACUCCUACGGGAGGCAGCAGUAGGGAAUCUUCCGCAAAGGGCGAAAGCCUGACGGAGCAACGCCGCGUGAGUGAUGAAGGUCUUCGGAUCGUAAAACUCUGUUAUUAGGGAAGAACAAAUGUGUAAGUAACUAUGCACGUCUUGACGGUACCUAAUCAGAAAGCCACGGCUAACUACGUG
This 497-nucleotide ribosomal RNA is filed under the name uncultured bacterium. RNAcentral's name for it is "partial 16S ribosomal RNA". It matches the Rfam family "Bacterial small subunit ribosomal RNA", at positions 28 to 507 of the family's 1533-position model. The record is from RNAcentral.